CAUGUGUUAGAACACCUGUAGCCUGGAAUUUUAAAUACUGUACAUUCGGACUUUUCCAAAUUCUACGGAACGUGCGUAGUUGCUACCUAAAUUUUGCCUAAUUAUGGACGUUUACGGAAAUAAACAGAGGCACUACGGAAAUGUAUCUUUAGUCUAGACCCUGAAAUAGGCCUAACAUUUUUGAAAGUACAGCAGGACAAUGAUUUUUCAUCAGGACAUGCUACUCGUCCCUACUACUACCUGCGGACCCUAGGACUACGGCCCUGAGGCCUAGGCCUAGACUUCAGACCUGUCAGAUUGAUAAAUUAUUGUAAAACCCAAGAAAAGUGCCCCAUAAAUCAUCAGUUGCUACAGGAUAUUUUCAUUUACAAUACUACGGAAGCUAAAAGACAUGGCAGAAAUGCAUAUUACUAUUAUUCUGGAGAAGUUUUGAUGAUUAAGUGUGCAGAAUAUUUACUAGGGCCUGGCCUAGGCCUAGUAGGCCUAUGCCUGCGUCAUUUCAUCUCUGUACAAAUUCUGAAGAAACUUGGACAUUGCACCUCCUCUGCAACAAGUCAACCUGCCCUGCUUGGCUGAAUGACUAAUCUUGCUGCCACUACUGAAUGGUAUGGCAACUAGCGAUUUGGUAGUUGAAGCUCGCAAUAUAUUAAUUGUAAUCAGUAUAGUAUUCAAGAAUUUUAAUAUUGAAUUAAUAUUGAAUAA
Long non-coding RNA from Anneissia japonica, 702 nucleotides. RefSeq lists it as uncharacterized. NCBI's taxonomy places the organism in Eukaryota, Metazoa, Echinodermata, Crinoidea, Comatulida, Comatulidae. The transcript is spliced from 3 exons. The record is from RefSeq and is a predicted model, not a curated record.